This 201-nucleotide long non-coding RNA is filed under the name Nicotiana benthamiana. RNAcentral's name for it is "long non-coding RNA (NBEN_LNC005886)". The record is from RNAcentral. Lineage: Eukaryota; Viridiplantae; Streptophyta; Magnoliopsida; Solanales; Solanaceae.
UUCUUUUCUCUCCAAUAUGACCAAGCCUACAAUGCCAAAGGUAUGUUUGAUUUACAUGAUUAUCUCUUUUCCUCUUAAGACUUGAAACAUGCAUAAUCGAAUUAGCAUUCACACUAGGUAAGACAUAAACAUCAUGUUGGAGAUAGCCAUUCACAUAUAAAUUAUCACUACAAUAAAUAGAGCAAAUACUAUUUCCUAUAU